RNAcentral lists this ribosomal RNA (497 nucleotides) under uncultured bacterium. Its description in RNAcentral is "partial 16S ribosomal RNA". It matches the Rfam family "Bacterial small subunit ribosomal RNA", at positions 28 to 507 of the family's 1533-position model. The record is from RNAcentral.
GAUGAACGCUGGCGGCGUGCCUAAUACAUGCAAGUCGAGCGAACGGACGAGAAGCUUUCUUCUCUGAUGUUAGCGGCGGACGGGUGAGUAACACGUGGAUAACCUACCUAUAAGACUGGUAUAACUUCGGGAAACCGUAGCUAAUACCGGAUAAUAUUUUGAACCGCAUGGUUCAAAAGUUAAAUACGGUCUUGCUGUCACUUAUAGAUGGAUCCGCGCUGCAUUAGCUAGUUGGUAAGGUAACGGCUUACCAAGGCAACGAUGCAUAGCCGACCUGAGAGGGUGAUAGGCCACACUGGAACUUAGACACGGUCCAGACUCCUAGGGGAGGCAGGAGUAGGGAAUAUUCCGCAAUGGGCGAAAGCCUCACGGAGCAACGCCGCGUGAGUGAUGAAGGUCUUCGGAUCGUAAAACUCUGUUAUUAGGGAAGAACAUAUGUGUAAGUAACUGUGCACAUCUUGACGGUACCUAAUCAGAAAGCCACGGCUAACUACGUG